UGGGGAAUAUUGCACAAUGGGCGGAAGCCUGAUGCAGCGACGCCGCGUGAGGGAUGACGGCCUUCGGGUUGUAAACCUCUUUCAGCAGGGAAGAAGCGCAAGUGACGGUACCUGCAGAAGAAGCACCGGCUAACUACGUGCCAGCAGCCGCGGUAAUACGUAGGGUGCGAGCGUUGUCCGGAAUUAUUGGGCGUAAAGAGCUUGUAGGUGGUUUGUCGCGUCUGCUGUGAAAAUCCGAGGCUCAACCUCGGACUUGCAGUGGGUACGGGCAGACUAGAGUGUGGUAGGGGAGACUGGAAUUCCUGGUGUAGCGGUGGAAUGCGCAGAUAUCAGGAGGAACACCGAUGGCGAAGGCAGGUCUCUGGGCCAACACUGACGCUCAUGCACGAAAGCGUGGGGAGCAAAC
This 406-nucleotide ribosomal RNA is filed under the name uncultured bacterium. Its description in RNAcentral is "bacterial SSU rRNA". It matches the Rfam family "Bacterial small subunit ribosomal RNA", at positions 355 to 773 of the family's 1533-position model. The record is from RNAcentral.